GAUGAACGCUGGCGGCGUGCCUAACACAUGCAAGUCGAACGGAGAUUUAACGCUGAUGAGGCUUCGGCGGAUUCUUGUUAAAUCUUAGUGGCGGACGGGUGAGUAACGCGUGGGCAACCUGCCUCAUACUGGGGGAUAGCAGUUGGAAACGACUGAUAAUACCGCAUAAGCGCACGGAGUCGCAUGACCCUGUGUGAAAAACUCCGGUGGUAUGAGAUGGGCCCGCGUCAGAUUAGCUAGUUGGUAAGGUAACGGCUUACCAAGGCGACGAUCUGUAGCCGGACUGAGAGGUCGGACAGCCACAUUGGGACUGAGACACGGCCCAAACUCC
RNAcentral lists this ribosomal RNA (331 nucleotides) under uncultured Butyrivibrio sp. RNAcentral's name for it is "bacterial SSU rRNA". It matches the Rfam family "Bacterial small subunit ribosomal RNA", at positions 28 to 339 of the family's 1533-position model. Lineage: Bacteria; Bacillati; Bacillota; Clostridia; Lachnospirales; Lachnospiraceae. The record is from RNAcentral.